CAGCAGUGGGGAAUUUUGGACAAUGGGCGAAAGCCUGAUCCAGCCAUGCCGCGUGCGGGAAGAAGGCCUUCGGGUUGUAAACCGCUUUUGUCAGGGAAGAAAAGCGCCAGGCUAAUACCUUGGCGUCAUGACGGUACCUGAAGAAUAAGCACCGGCUAACUACGUGCCAGCAGCCGCGGUAAUACGUAGGGUGCAAGCGUUAAUCGGAAUUACUGGGCGUAAAGCGUGCGCAGGCGGUCGUGCAAGACAGAUGUGAAAUCCCCGGGCUCAACCUGGGAACUGCAUUUGUGACUGCACGGCUUGAGUGCGGCAGAGGGGAAUGGAAUUCCGCAUGUAGCAGUGAAAUGCGUAGAUAUGCGGAGGAACACCGAUGGCGAAGGCAAUUCCCUGGGCCUGCACUGACGCUCAUGCACGAAAGCGUGGGGAGCAAACAGGAUUAGA
RNAcentral lists this ribosomal RNA (441 nucleotides) under uncultured Burkholderiales bacterium. Its description in RNAcentral is "bacterial SSU rRNA". It matches the Rfam family "Bacterial small subunit ribosomal RNA", at positions 349 to 782 of the family's 1533-position model. Lineage: Bacteria; Pseudomonadati; Pseudomonadota; Betaproteobacteria; Burkholderiales. The record is from RNAcentral.